This is a long non-coding RNA of Gasterosteus aculeatus aculeatus (three-spined stickleback), 2406 nucleotides long. NCBI's taxonomy places the organism in Eukaryota, Metazoa, Chordata, Actinopteri, Perciformes, Gasterosteidae. The record is from Ensembl.
CCCUUUAGACAAGAGUGUGUUUGCUCCCGCUGUAAUGCCGUUAUCUCCCUCUCUCUCCCCCUUCUAAUCUGGACACCACAAGUAAGCGCUUCUGACAAGAGCUGUGCACAAAUUGAAUUUUUCUUCCCCUAUCCCUUUCGAUUUAUAAUUCCCUCUCCCGCCCUACAAGCAAACUCAAUUUCUGACCCUUUAGACAAAAGGCUCAGAUAAAGCAAUUAGUUGAAGAUUCUGUGUGAGCUCCUGGCUCGGCUGACCUGCAUGGGAGUGUGAAGCACUAGGAGCAGUACAAACAGGGGCGAUGACAGUUUCACCUCCUUGGAGAUGAACUCAAGAGUCACUGGAAACAAAAGAAGUACUGACCAAGCAACAUUGUACAGAGUUGGGGAAAACCAAAAGGCUCAACUCAGGAUCUCCUGUCCCCGUCUACCCGCCAUCUCACGCAUGAGUCUUCCUACAUGAUGCCUCGCUGGAGAUGCUCCCUCGAGCCGCACUGACAGGUCAUCUCUCACGCCAUCGAGUACAAUCAAUCACAAACCUCAAGAGUUCCCUUAGAGAAGACUUAUACAUUGCUACUCGGAACAUCCGGAGACAGCGAGGACCUCUUCCUCAGCUAGGUCCAAUACUAUCCGGGGUCAGGUCGCUGGGGCAACAGCUCCAGCAGGGACCCCAAACUUCCCUUUCCUGGGCCACAUCUACCAGCUCUGACUGGGGGAUCCCAAGGCGUUCCCAGGUCAGUGUAGAGAUAUAAUCUCUCCACCUAGGGUCUUCCCAGCUGGCCGUGCCUGGAACACCCCCCUAGGGAGGCGCCCAGGGGGCAUCCUCACCAGAUCCCCAAACCACCUCAACUGGCUCCUUUCGACGCAAAGGAGCAGCGGCUCUACUCCAAGCUCCUCAACCUAUCUCUAAGGGAGACGCCAGCCACUCUCCAGAGGAAACCCAUUUCGGCCGCUUGUACCCGUGACCCAAUCUUCAUGAACAUAGGUGAGCGUAGGAACGAAGAUUGACCGGUAGAUUGAGAGCUUUGCCAGUUUUGGGGAAAACGCUUGCCCUGGAUCACCAGCUGGAUUCCUGGUGGACGCAGUCUGCUCUCCCAGAGCCCCCGGAAGGCGUUCGGGUCACCGUUCUCCGCGCCCUCCGGUCACCACUUUGCCUCCGGAGGUGGAGGCCAUCUCUAGGUCUCCAAUUGCCGGAUCAUACGGGGAGCAGGUGAUGCACCUCACGGCCCAUCUCCAGGCCACGUACUCCCUCCACGCUGGGCCGGAGCGCCCUCCCGAUCCGGCUCCACGACUCGUGCCCCCAACGCCUCCAGUCCCCACUCCAUAACUAAGGCCCCCUCUGUCACGAAUUCUCCAUCUUAUUACUUUUUUUCCUGCCUGCGUUCUAGUCAAUUAACUCUACUCAGUCAUUCCAGAUCCUGUCCUCAAUAAGAAAUCACCUCAUUCUCUUCACCUGGUCCUCAUGCCCUUCCCGACUGCAACCCAUUCCCUCGUUAGUCCCUCACUACAUAGGUCCCCCCCACUUGUCCUCUGCCAGAUUGUCUUGUGUGCAUGCAAAGUUUUCCAGCGUUUUCCGAUUACAGAUAUCCCAUCCUGACCUAGCCUGCCUUCUCUUGACCACGUGUCAGGGGAUGCGUGGGGAAGGCAGGACUCAAAAGCAGACGUCAAAAGCAAAAGGACUUUAAUCGUCAAAAAGGCAAAAGCAAAAGACCAAUGGGCAAAAACACACAAAAACUGGGGGCAAAAAGGCACGCAGGAACAGGGAACAUCCACGACGAUAGACAGGGACUUCGUGACAAGAGACAAUGACGCCACAAGUGACAAACCCACUCUGGAGGUGCACGUGAUUGGACACAGGUGGAAACAAUCCGACAAUCACAGGGGAUGACAGGACCAGGCAGGAAGUGAAGUUACCCGGGGACACGAGUGGCAGAAAACUACAAAAUAAGACAGGAAGUGCACCACACCGUGACACCACAAACUCUUCGCCUGCCCUCUUAUUGGAUUUGUUUGCCUGUCGGAUCGCCGUUCUGUUUCUGAACCCUGCCUGUCCCAGUUUACGGAUUUCCUGGCUGCCCCUCUGGAUUUGUUUGCCCAUUGGACUGCUAUCCCAGUUUUGACCCUGCCUGUAUAAGUAAAGAACUUUAGAUUGAAUUCUGCCUCAGAGUUGUGCUUUUGGGUUACAAUAUCUGUAACCCUUAAACCCUCCCUUCUUAGGAAGAAUCAAUGCUGCAUUUCACAACCAGCUGUGAACUCUGUUGGAAUAUGACAACUAAAGCACUUGGCAUAAUGUAAUAAAAGUUAUUGGGCAUUAUCAAAGGUCCUUCCAAGAAAGGUGAUAAAAGUAAACAUCAAGUUGUGGCUGUUUUUUUGUGCUGCAAAUGCUUCUUAAGGUUUGCUGAGAUGUAGA